This 253-nucleotide ribosomal RNA is filed under the name uncultured bacterium. RNAcentral describes it as "partial 16S ribosomal RNA". It matches the Rfam family "Bacterial small subunit ribosomal RNA", at positions 524 to 776 of the family's 1533-position model. The record is from RNAcentral.
UACGUAGGGGGCUAGCGUUGUCCGGAAUCAUUGGGCGUAAAGAGCGUGUAGGCUGCUCGGUAAGUCCGCUGUAAAAGUCAAAGGCUCAACCUUUGAAUGUCAGUGGAUACUGCCGGGCUAGAGUCCGGAAGAGGCGAGUGGAACUCCUGGUGUAGCGGUGGAAUGCGCAGAGAUCGGGAAGAACACCAGUGGCGAAGGCGGCGCUCUGGGCUGCACCUGACGCUGAGAUGCGAAAGUGUGGGGAGCAAACGGG